ACACGUGGGCAAUCUGCCCUUCACUCUGGGACAAGCCCUGGAAACGGGGUCUAAUACCGGAUAACACCGGCUUCCGCAUGGGAGCUGGUUGAAAGCUCCGGCGGUGAAGGAUGAGCCCGCGGCCUAUCAGCUUGUUGGUGGGGUAAUGGCCUACCAAGGCGACGACGGGUAGCCGGCCUGAGAGGGCGACCGGCCACACUGGGACUGAGACACGGCCCAGACUCCUACGGGAGGCAGCAGUGGGGAAUAUUGCACAAUGGGCGAAAGCCUGAUGCAGCGACGCCGCGUGAGGGAUGACGGCCUUCGGGUUGUAAACCUCUUUCAGCAGGGAAGAAGCGAAAGUGACGGUACCUGCAGAAGAAGCGCCGGCUAACUACGUGCCAGCAGCCGCGGUAAUACGUAGGGCGCAAGCGUUGUCCGGAAUUAUUGGGCGUAAAGAGCUCGUAGGCGGCUUGUCACGUCGGGUGUGAAAGCCCGGGGCUUAACCCCGGGUCUGCAUCCGAUACGGGCAGGCUAGAGUGUGGUAGGGGAGAUCGGAAUUCCUGGUGUAGCGGUGAAAUGCGCAGAUAUCAGGAGGAACACCGGUGGCGAAGGCGGAUCUCUGGGCCAUUACUGACGCUGAGGAGCGAAAGCGUGGGGAGCGAACAGGAUUAGAUACCCUGGUAGUCCACGCCGUAAACGUUGGGAACUAGGUGUUGGCGACAUUCCACGUCGUCGGUGCCGCAGCUAACGCAUUAAGUUCCCCGCCUGGGGAGUACGGCCGCAAGGCUAA
This 772-nucleotide ribosomal RNA is filed under the name Streptomyces wedmorensis. RNAcentral describes it as "bacterial SSU rRNA". It matches the Rfam family "Bacterial small subunit ribosomal RNA", at positions 113 to 897 of the family's 1533-position model. The record is from RNAcentral. Lineage: Bacteria; Bacillati; Actinomycetota; Actinomycetes; Kitasatosporales; Streptomycetaceae.